This 1443-nucleotide long non-coding RNA is filed under the name Onthophagus taurus. RNAcentral's name for it is "uncharacterized LOC111421333, transcript variant X2". The record is from RNAcentral. Lineage: Eukaryota; Metazoa; Arthropoda; Insecta; Coleoptera; Scarabaeidae.
UCUUGUUUAGCAACAGUCAACGACACUAAAUGUCACUGAAAUAUUUUCUGGCUUGCUUUAAUUUCUGAUGGCGCUGCCGAAAAAGCUGCGUUAUUCUUUAGGUCUUGUAACUUUGGUAUUAACAACAAUAAAAACUUGAACAAAAAACAGAAGUGAUCAGAACAGACGAGACUACAAGCUCCUUAUGUUUAAAAUUAAUUUCUUUGUACACUCCACAGUAAGCUUCAAAGUGCAGGAAGAAAACACUGAAAUUGAAGAGCGCCAAAAUGGGGAAGACACCUACAAAAAUAUUGGCAAAGGGUAGUGUUCAAAAUUACUGAAGUUUGAAACUGGUCAUCAUUUUAGAGAUUUAGGAAUAGAAACAUAGACAUAGCAAUGCAGGUGUCUAUGACAUGUCAGCUUACACCUGAUUACCAUCAAUACCAGUGGCUAAAGACUUCUAAUCAUCGCGUGCGAGAUGGAUUGAGGAUUUAAGUCAAUGACUUUGGACAUACACUACUUGAUUAAAAGAGAUUUCGCCUGGGUUAGGCGGAGUUUCUCCAAUUUCAUGGAAAUCUGAUAAAUGAAACGAAAUUUUGAUGUUUUGCAUUCUUUAAUAUGCUUUGCUGGUGAAGUGCUUUGUGGUGGAGACACCAUUUUAGUUAAUCGUUAUUAAUUCUAAUCUGCUUUUAAAAUUUUCAACUCUAUUAGUUGAGUUAUAAGAAAAAUUGGAAGGAUGGAAAUUUUUAGAGCUUACUGAUUUCAACAAUAAAGCCAUCAUCAGAGACAAAAUGGGUUUCUCAAUCAUAAAUAGAAGACACUUACAAUUUGGAUAUCUGAGAUAACAAUUGCACGCGUCCCGGAUAAUAAUCGGGAGUGAGAAUCCCGGAAACGCCGCGACGUCACAUGGAACCGUCCCCAGGGAGCGUUGCGACGUCCACCAUUAUUCGAAAGCGUUCGACUGGAACCGCGUAAUCUCAUCAUAAUAAUAUUUUGCAUUGCGGUUUAUUGUGGCGAACUUCGCGGUUUUAAGAGAGAAGGACCGACAAACUGUCGUCGAUUCGAUAUGGUUAAGCUUUUGGGCGUCGCGAUGGUACUUUAACGCAUCCAAACGGAAAGUGUUAAAUUUUCCAAUUCAACAAAUUACACGUCAUUACCAAUUUAAAAAUAUCAACUGUUAUUAGAUUCGGUGAUAAUAACUAAUAACAAGGAUUUUUGUUGGUAAUUAGCAAUUAUUGAGGGGGUGCUUUUGGUACCAUAUGGUGAAGAACGAGGGCUUCCAUCCUCUCUCGUCUCUUCCGUCAAUCUCGGUGUUCUCAGGAAGCACCUUUCAUGGUUCACAUGGGGACCCCCGGUAAAAGGAUGAUGAACAUGCGGAACGAAUGAGGCAUAAUUCCGAAAAUAUUCGCAUCGUCUAAUAUUACUGUAAUCCGGGAUGAAAUCACGCGACGUUCUUUGUUAACA